Molecule: ribosomal RNA, 497 nt
Filed under: uncultured bacterium
Lineage: Bacteria
Description: partial 16S ribosomal RNA
Rfam family: Bacterial small subunit ribosomal RNA
Source: RNAcentral
GAUGAACGCUGGCGGCGUGCCUAAUACAUGCAAGUCGAGCGAACGGACGAGAAGCUUGCUUCUCUGAUGUUAGCGGCGGACGGGUGAGUAACACGUGGAUAACCUACCUAUAAGACUGGGAUAACUUCGGGAAACCGGAGCUAAUACCGGAUAAUAUUUUGAACCGCAUGGUUCAAAAGUGAAAGACGGUCUUGCUGUCACUUAUAGAUGGAUCCGCGCUGCAUUAGCUAGUUGGUAAGGUAACGGCUUACCAAGGCAACGAUGCAUAGCCGACCUGAGAGGGUGGUCGCCCACACGGGAACUGAGACCGGGCCCAGACCCCGACGGGGGGCAGAAGAAGGGAAUCUUCCGAAAGGGGCGAAAGCCUGACGGAGCAGCGCCGCGUGAGUGAUAAAGGUUUUGGGAUCGUAAAACUCUUUUAUUGGGGAAAAACAUAUGUUAAAGUAACUGUCCACUUCUUGACGGUACAUAAUAAAAAAGCCACGGCUAACUACGGG